Molecule: ribosomal RNA, 429 nt
Filed under: Bacteroidota bacterium
Lineage: Bacteria; Pseudomonadati; Bacteroidota
Description: Bacteroidetes bacterium partial 16S ribosomal RNA
Rfam family: Bacterial small subunit ribosomal RNA
Source: RNAcentral
UAGGGAAUCUUCCGCAAUGGACGCAAGUCUGACGGAGCAACGCCGCGUGAGUGAAGAAGGAUUUCGGUUCGUAAAACUCUGUUGUUAGAGAAGAACAGCGCAUAGAGUAACUGUUAUGCGUGUGACGGUAUCUAACCAGAAAGCCACGGCUAACUACGUGCCAGCAGCCGCGGUAAUACGUAGGUGGCAAGCGUUGUCCGGAUUUAUUGGGCGUAAAGCGAGCGCAGGCGGUCAAUUAAGUCUGAUGUGAAAGCCCCCGGCUCAACCGGGGAGGGUCAUUGGAAACUGGUUGACUUGAGUGCAGAAGAGGAGAGUGGAAUUCAAUGUGUAGCGGUGAAAUGCGUAGAUAUAUGGAGGAACACCAGUGGCGAAGGCGACUCUCUGGUCUGUAACUGACGCAGAGGUUCGAAAGCGUGGGUAGCAAACAGG